This 71-nucleotide transfer RNA is filed under the name Stegodyphus mimosarum. It matches the Rfam family "tRNA". From Rfam's summary of the family: Transfer RNA (tRNA) molecules are approximately 80 nucleotides in length. The record is from Rfam by way of RNAcentral. Lineage: Eukaryota; Metazoa; Arthropoda; Arachnida; Araneae; Eresidae.
UCUUUUGUGGUGUAACGGUAGCAAACUCGGCUCGUAUUCGAGAGGUCUAGGCUCGAGUCCCGGCGAGGGUA